Long non-coding RNA from Fukomys damarensis (Damara mole-rat), 570 nucleotides. RefSeq lists it as uncharacterized. The transcript is spliced from 3 exons. The record is from RefSeq and is a predicted model, not a curated record. Lineage: Eukaryota; Metazoa; Chordata; Mammalia; Rodentia; Bathyergidae.
CCCGUCCUCCGCUCCCAACCCCGCUUCAAUUCAAGGAGCCUCCUCCCUGGACUCCUUUGCAUCCCCUUUACCUACUUCCAACCCAUCUCCUUGCCUUCACCCAGCGACACUCCACUCUGAUGUCGGCCUCCCUCUUGGCUUUUCCCUGUUCUCCCUUCCUCUCCUCCCUCCCUCUCCUCGCUUCGCUCCUCCCCUCACCUGCCCCUCUCUCUCUCCUUCCUUUUCCCUGCUCACCUGGCCCCUGAGCCCGGGCCCUGGCCCUCUUCCCCUCACUUUGUUGGCCUUCCCCCGCCCCAGCGUCUCCCUUCUGUGUUCCCCGCCACCGCUUGUCCUGGCUGCUGAGCCGGGCGACCUCCCAGUGGAUGACCUAAUGCAGUGGCCACCGCCCCACCCCAGCGUGGAGUUGGGGGCGUUGUCCCUGGCUGGAUCCUGGCACCCAGGGUGAGGUGCGCCCUGCUGUUGAGGUCUUCUGAGGUCCCACGGGUGACUCUCUCUGCAGGUGGGCCGAGUCACUGCUACAGCUCUCCUUUCGGGCAGACAUUCAAGAUCGGAUCGGCCUCUGAUGACCCA